RNAcentral lists this ribosomal RNA (439 nucleotides) under uncultured bacterium. RNAcentral describes it as "partial 16S ribosomal RNA". It matches the Rfam family "Bacterial small subunit ribosomal RNA", at positions 339 to 795 of the family's 1533-position model. The record is from RNAcentral.
CUACGGGGUGCACCAGUGAGGAAUAUUGCACAAUGGGGGGAACCCUGAUGCAGCAACACCGCGUGGAGGAUGACGCAUUUCGGUGUGUAAACUCCUUUUAUAUGUCAAGAAAAUGACGGUAGCAUAUGAAUAAGCACCGGCUAACUCCGUGCCAGCAGCCGCGGUAAUACGGAGGGUGCAAGCGUUACUCGGAAUCACUGGGCGUAAAGGACGCGUAGGCGGGUUGGAAAGUCAGGUGUGAAAUCCUACAGCGUAACUGUAGAACUGCACUUGAAACUUCUAAUCUAGAGUAUGGGAGGGGGAGAUGGAAUUAGUGGUGUAGGGGUAAAAUCCGUAGAUAUCACUAGGAAUACCUAAAGCGAAGGCGAUCUCCUGGAACAUUACUGACGCUAAGGCGUGAAAGCGUGGGGAGCAAACAGGAUUAGAUACCCGUGUAGUC